RNAcentral lists this unclassified non-coding RNA (318 nucleotides) under Hevea brasiliensis (rubber tree). Lineage: Eukaryota; Viridiplantae; Streptophyta; Magnoliopsida; Malpighiales; Euphorbiaceae. The record is from RNAcentral.
UUCUUCCUGGGAAAACACAAGUUGUUCUUAAAUGUGAUAUGUCUGCAUGGCAAAAAGUAUACUACCAGCAGGUCACAGAUGUUGGGAGGGUUGGAUUGGAUUCUGGAACUGGGAGGUCUAAGAGUCUGCAGAAUCUCUCCAUGCAACUUAGGAAAUGUUGUAAUCACCCUUACCUAUUUGUGGCCGAGUAUAAUAUUUAUCGAAAGGAGGAGAUAGUGAGAGCAUCUGGAAAAUUUGAGCUUCUUGAUCGUUUACUACCCAAACUUCGCAGAGCUGGGCACAGGGUCCUUCUCUUCUCACAAAUGACCCGCCUCAUGG